Long non-coding RNA from Zeugodacus cucurbitae (melon fly), 3440 nucleotides. RefSeq lists it as uncharacterized. The transcript is spliced from 2 exons. Lineage: Eukaryota; Metazoa; Arthropoda; Insecta; Diptera; Tephritidae. The record is from RefSeq and is a predicted model, not a curated record.
AAAGAAUGACCUUGGGUUCGACAUAAAUUCAAAAAUAAUAAAAUGGCUCAACGGAUUCAUUUCACCAAAAAAUUAAAUAUUAAUAGACACAAUGUUAUUUUAAGACAAAAUCUAUAUUUAAUUCCAUUAAUGAGAUCAACAUUUGAUAGUUAUUUCAAUAUUCCUUUUAAAUUCAUUUUAUUUCAUAUCAAAACCCCCUUUCGCUACGCCACUGAAUAUGUUGCAGACACAUUUUCAAUUUAUUCCGGUGAAGUAAUGCAACUGCAACACUGUUGAACGAAAUGUCUGAGCAAGAAGCGAUGCAUUUAAUACACUCUCACAGCCGAUCGUCGACGAAAACUGCGUGAGGAAAACUGCGGUGGUGUCAGUCGGUGGUAAAGCGAGCGGCGAGUGUACGCCGGCAUUUGAAUUUAUAAUUGUCGAAACGUAUGUAUGAAGUGGCAGACGUCGCAGUUGCAGGAAUGUCUGCCUGAUAUUUGGCCGGUUCGUUGACUAGUUGGCGUGUGAUUGUUGGCUCAUUGGUCGUGUUUGGUGUAACUAUAUUGGUUGGUGAUCGUGCUGCUUCGGCUUGUAUGCAAAUGCAAUUGCAAUUGCAAUGAAAGGGCUCACUGCAUGCUAAGUGUGCAACAAAAAACAAAAGAUGCAUCGCACGACCUCCAUCACCGGCACCGAUUUACAAGUGCAGACUACAGGCGCUCCAGAAAAAUAUUUACAACUUUUGAAAAAAUUUCAAUAUUUUUUAAUAAUAAACAUUGUUUUUUAAGCCUCAAAUAUAGUACACUAUCAUCACACUUCGUUGGUUGUUACAGUACUGUAACCAUGCCACAGCCUCAACUUUCGCCAGGCAUGUCACUCUUUGAUUUUUCCUAUUUCCAAAAAUAAAGACAAAAGUCGCUGAAAUAUAGCCAAAGGCCCUCCCAAAAAUCGAGUUUGAGAAGUGUUUCAGCGAUUGGAAGAAGCGCUGGCAAGUGCAUAAUGUCGAAUGGGGACUAUUUUAAAGACGACAACUGAAUAAAUAUUUUUUCAAAAACGCAAAAAAUCCCGUUAUUUUUUGAACACACCUCGUAUACAAGAUGUAUUUAUAGUUAUUGUGAAUUUCAUCUAUUGUAAUAAUAUUCUUUUAAUUAGUAAAAUUGUCAAAGUUAAACUCAAUCCCAUUCAUUUAUAACUAAGGCAAUAAGAUAUUGUCAUAAAAAAUUUAGCUAAUAAAUUCCGUUUAUAUUAUUAGUAGGGUUUAAUGGCCUGAUCAUUUAAUUAGAAGAUGCUAAAAUUGACUUUGAAAAAAAAAAGGUGUAAUUUAAAAGUUCUACAAAAUGUUCCGGCGCCAAGUGAGAAAUGUUUUCCAACCGAGCAUCUUUGAACAAACAAAGAAAUCUUCCCAGGAAACAGUGCUACAGUCUUUAAAAAGACUUACCUUUAAACUUGAUAAAAUAAUGGACAUUUAAGCAAUAUAAGUAAGUACAGCGAGAAUUGUCAAUAAUCUACCGUAAGGCAUCCCCACAUCAAUGCUUACUUAGCGGUUUUGCAAAGCCUGAACUACAAAGAAAAAACACGUUUUAUUUUAAAUUUUUAUUUUUUGGUGUAUUUCAUGUUCUUUUUUUUUUCUUUUAAUUAAUUUUUGUGGAUUUCAUUCUUUUCUUUGCUUUUCGUUAAUUCUUAUUUAGUGUUGUUGUUUUUUGCUUUUUAUUAACUGUAUUGUUUCACUUUGUUGUUGUUAUUUUUGGUUUUUGCUUGACUUUAUGCGAUUCAUUGUAUUAAUCUCUAAAUAUAUAUAAUAUAUAUAUAUAUAAGUUUAUAUAUUUAUGUUGCUGUUUUCAAUGUUCAGCUUCAGCUUUUUUGUGGGCCAUAUUGUGCCCGUGACUCUUAACGCUUCACUAUCAUUAUCACUACCAUCAAAGUUUCGACACAUCUUCGCCUGCAAACAACUUCAACCAACGUACCAUGCACAUAACUGCAUAUGCUGCAGUUGCACAGGUGCGCAUGCGCGUACGACUUGUGUGUGUAUGUAUGUAAGUAUGUACGUCUCUUAGAGGCUUCAUCAUAUAUAUAUUUUGUUCGUUUGAAUUCAUUUAUUUAUUUUUUUUAAAUAUAUUUUUUGUGUUGUUUUUUAUUUUAAUUUUAUUUGCUUCACUUUAACUUUAAUUCUGCUUAAAUAACAACUGUUCAUUUCAUUAAAUUAGUAUUACUUUUAACGGUAUUAUUAUAUUACUGUUGUUCUCAUGCAUAUGUAUGCAUGUAUGUGAGCUACAUAUGUAUUUAUGUACAUAUCUAAAACUCGAUUUAGUGUUUUUUGUUUUUGCAAUGAUUGACUUUUUUUUACUGUGAUGAGUUGCUUUUAAAGAACGUAAUUUCUAAUAAAAAACUUUCAACAAUUAAAUUCAAAUAAUUAAGCCAUUUCUAUUAAGAGUCGGCAUUCAAUUACAGCUAACUUAACAUUUUCAAAUCGCAAUUCAUUUCAUUUGAAACAAUGCUAAAUUCAUUUAUACUAAAGUGUUUUCGAAAAUAAAUUCUAAGAAUGAUCAGACAAGCGCGCAUCUCGAAGAGCGUACUCACCGUCAAAACUCGUUUAUUGUACAAUAUAUUUAUUUAUGCAUUCCCAUUAUUAAAAAACGGCUUUCACUCAAAGGGACAAAAGUGUGAAUUGUUGAUCUCUUUGCAGCAGUUCUAUGAUUUCAUAAAAUUCAUUUUACGCAUAAUUUUGAUUCUCAAAGCAGUGAUUCUCUCUCCCACUCUCUCUACUCCUUUAAAUGUAUUAAUUUUGUCAAAAUGUCGCUAGUAGUGUGUGAUAAUUUAUGAUGUAUGUAUGUUAGCGUUUUAGUAAUGAAAAACUACUGUUUUGUAUUGCUAAUUUAAGUACCCUUAUUGAGCAAAUCAGCUAUUUACUCAUAUUAUGUAAUUCAUAUCUAAGCAUAAUACUAAAACACGCCCUUGUUAAGGUAAGCUUGAGAAGAAGCUGUAUAUUUUCACUAUAAAAAAACAUGGUAAAAUUAGGACUGGUGGAAGGGAACUAAGGCAGGACUCGGGACACAGCAGAAGUUGGUUAACAUAUUGCUAAGUAUGUUGCGAUGAGGGAAUGUACAUAUGAUGUUGGCAGGAUGUGGGAUUUGGACUUGAACUUAGAACUUUCAACUAGCUCCUUUACCAGGCAUCAUCUACCUAGUCUAUUAGUAGUAGUAGUCUAUUUAAAUCUAAUUGUAAACUAGUUACAUGUUUAGUAAAACGUAAAUUUAGCGUUUUAAGUUUAGUUUGGCAACAGUUUUAAAUGGUCUCCGCCACUUCUUAUAGUCAAUUUUUAUACCGCCUAUUUUUUUAUAAUUAUGUAUGACUUAUUUUUCGUUUAUGUUGUUUUUGUUAUUUUAGUGUUUCUUCCUCUUACUCCUUAUUUAUUUAGCAAGUGUAUAUAACUUUUGAAAUUAACUAGUUUUAAUGCAUAGUAGUGU